RNAcentral lists this ribosomal RNA (253 nucleotides) under uncultured bacterium. RNAcentral's name for it is "partial 16S ribosomal RNA". It matches the Rfam family "Bacterial small subunit ribosomal RNA", at positions 524 to 776 of the family's 1533-position model. The record is from RNAcentral.
UACGGGGGGGGCAAGCGUUGUUCGGAAUUACUGGGCGUAAAGGGUUUGUAGGUGGCUUGUUAAGUCAGACGUGAAAUCCCUCAGCUUAACUGGGGAACUGCGUCUGAGACUGGUGAGCUUGAGUGCAGGAGAGGAUCGCGGAAUUCCCGGUGUAGAGGUGAAAUUCGUAGAUAUCGGGAGGAACACCAGUGGCGAAGGCGGCGAUCUGGGAAGAUACUGACGCUGAGGUGCGAAAGCGUGGGGAGCAAACAGG